UACGGAGGGUGCGAGCGUUAAUCGGAAUUACUGGGCGUAAAGCGCGCGUAGGCGGCCUAAUCAGUCGGAUGUGAAAGCCCUGGGCUUAACCUGGGAAUUGCAUUCGAUACUGUCAGGCUAGAGUAUGGGAGAGGGAAGUGGAAUUUCCGGUGUAGCGGUGAAAUGCGUAGAUAUCGGAAGGAACACCAGUGGCGAAGGCGACUUCCUGGCCCAAUACUGACGCUCAGGUGCGAAAGCGUGGGUAGCGAACAGG
RNAcentral lists this ribosomal RNA (253 nucleotides) under uncultured prokaryote. Its description in RNAcentral is "partial 16S ribosomal RNA". It matches the Rfam family "Bacterial small subunit ribosomal RNA", at positions 524 to 776 of the family's 1533-position model. The record is from RNAcentral.